UGGCAUGUGUUCGUUUUACUUU
This 22-nucleotide non-coding RNA is filed under the name Mus musculus (house mouse). Lineage: Eukaryota; Metazoa; Chordata; Mammalia; Rodentia; Muridae. The record is from RNAcentral.